UGCUUUAAGAGUGCUGGCCUGAAGGGAGAGUCAGGUACAUUGUUAUUUACACCAUCCUCUUGGAAAGAAAGAGCUAGCCUGUGUUUUCAUUUCAGGGAGCCCCAGGUUCUUCACACAGCACCUAUUCUGGUAACCAGGUAAACAUGCAAAUAAAAUGCCCUAUUCAGAAACCCCACCUAAAGCCUUCCCUGAAGGCACAUCCAAAUCUAAACCAGUAACCCAUUCUGUCUUCUGCACAGGAAGGGCCUUACUUCUAUCCCGGAGGAUCCUAUGGACAGGUAGUUGUUUUUCCUCCUCUAGCAGGACAACACACACUUCCAUCAUUCCAGUUCCUAGACUCCCAACAUUGUGGGUGUUAAUUGCAUUGUCCACCUAGAGCCUUCCCUGAAGGAACAGCCAAAGCUAAACCAGUAACCCAUUCUGUCUUCUGUACAGGGAGGGCCUUCCUUCUAUCCUGGAGGAUACCAUGGACAGGAGGGCCCAGAUUCUUCCCACAGCUCUUACUCUGGUAACCAGGUAAAUAUUCUGGCCACUGUCCCUGCACAGGAGCACUCCAGAUGUCUUUCCCAAGAGAAUGCUUCAGAUACAAACCUAAAUGUUUCUCUUUUCUGUACAGGGAGGGUCUUUCUAUCCUGGUGGAUCUUAUGGACAGGUAAAUGUUGUUCCAUCUUUGUAAAGAUGAGGCAGACCUCUGUUAUCUGCAUUCCUACACUCCCCUUGAAAGACAGAAACUUCUUUCUUAGGGGAAGCAAAGUAAGAGAAACUCUAACAUUUUGUCUACAGGGAGGCUCUUCUGCCUAUGACAGCAGCAGUGAAUCCUAUGGCCAGGGUGGCUCUUCCGUGUACGGUGGUGCUGGGUCUUACGGCCAGGUAAAUACUAUUUGUCCCAUAUAUCAAAAGUUAACUCUGCUCUAUUGGUUAUCUGCACUGGGUUCUAUAUUUCAAAUACAUUUAAGUGGAGAACCAUGAAAAUGCCACUUCACCUUUGCUUAUUCUUUACUUUUA
Molecule: RNA transcript, 1005 nt
Organism: Dryobates pubescens (Downy woodpecker)
Lineage: Eukaryota; Metazoa; Chordata; Aves; Piciformes; Picidae
Gene name: loricrin-like
Exons: 3
Source: RefSeq, a predicted model, not a curated record